This is a non-coding RNA of Phalacrocorax carbo (great cormorant), 3635 nucleotides long. The record is from RefSeq and is a predicted model, not a curated record. Lineage: Eukaryota; Metazoa; Chordata; Aves; Suliformes; Phalacrocoracidae.
CACAGCAGAGCACUGGAAGCCGGAAAGGUCCCUGACCACCACAGGCGCUACAAUGAAGAGAAUUAACCCCUUCUCAUGCAAAACCAGCACAGAUGUGUCUGAGGCUCAUAAGAUUUGGUGCUUUGGACCUGAUGGUACCAGUCCAAAUAUCUCAGUUGACAUCACAAAAGGUGUCCAGUAUCUAAAUGAAUUCAAAGACAAUGUUGUUGCUGUUUUCCAGUGGGCUACGAAAGAGGGCCCAUAACAAGUGAUUGGUGUGAUCUAUGGUGUGCUGAACAGGAAAAGGGGACACGGUUUUGAAGAAUCGCAAGUAGCAGGAACUCCAAUGUUUCUGGGCAAGUCAUUCCUACCUGACUCAUUUGGUUUUACCACUGGCUUGAGAUCCAACACUGGUGGCCAGGCUUUUCCACAGUGCAUCUUUGAUCACUGGCAGGUUUUGCCUGGGGAUCCUUACAAUGCAAAUUCCUGUCCUUAGCAAGUUGUGGCUGAAACACGUAAAGGCAAAGGCUUGAAGGGUAGGAUAUUGCACCUCUGGAUAACUCCUAGGAAGCAGCUCCCUUCAUUGUUGCUCUUGCAGAAAUUCUUGUUGAACUAUCAGGUUUUUGUCCUCUCAGCCAGAAGAUGCAUUCUUUCAUUUCCAAACUUGAAUCCUCUGUGCUCUUGAAGACUGAUAGUGAAAGGCUUGCAGUUACAGAGUCCAUGUCCAUCAUACACCACAAAUGGCGACCGAAAAGGGACUUGAAAAAUAACAAAGAGAAAGCAGCAACGAUAUUUACCAGUGGUGUACCCCUGCGCAGCCUGACGGAGAAUAUUGCAUCGAGUGCUCAUACACAUUCAUCACCGGUCGCUGGACAGCAAAGGCCACUGACAUUCAGCUGCAACUCAAGCUGAUUUGGCUGACAGACAAGCCAGUAUGGGUAGACCAGCGGCCUUUGAAAGGUGAGUGGCUAGAAAGGGCUCAUGAAUUAGUGCAAGAGCAAUUGAAAUUAGGUCAUAUUGUCCCUUCCACGAGCCCUUGGAAAACCCCUAUAUUUGUUAUUCCUAAAAAGUCUGGUAAAUGGAGAUUGCUGCAAGACCUCUGAGCUAUUAAUGCAGUGAUGGGACCUAUAGGAUCUCUACAACCAGGAACUCCAAAUCCAACUAUGAUUCUGGAUAAUUGGCAUUUGAAGGUUAUUGAUUUGAAAUAUUGCUUUUUUGCUACUCAUUUACAUCCUGAUGAUUGUGCUCGUUUUGCCUUUUUGGUUCCUGUGAUUAAUAAUGAUCGACCUACGCAGCAGUUUCAUUGGGUAGUUCUACCGCAAGGGAUGAAAAACAGCCCAACCAUAUGUCAAGUGGUGGUCAGUGAAGCCUUGUCGAAUAUUCACAGACCAUAUAAUAACACUGUGUUAUAUCAUUAUAUGGGCGAUAUUUUAUUAGCUGUUAAAACUGAAUCACUUCUUUCCCGAGUUUUUGAAGGCCUAGUAACCGAGCUUCAGCGAUACAGCCUCCAAAUUGUGACAGAAAAGGUACAAUCAGUUCCUCCAUGGAAAUACCUUGGUUGGAAACAUCUUGAUUAGUCUGUAUAUCCACAGUCGGUCCGACUUGCUACUACAGUGAGUACUUUGAAUGAUUUACAAAAGCUCUUGGGAACAAUUAACUGGCUUCGACCUCUGUUAGGUAUAACAACACACGAACUGUCACCUCUGUUUUCUUUACUGAAGGGGAAUCCUGAGCUAGCUUCUCCUAGGCAAUUGACAGAAGGCGCUCAGUUAGCACUUCAGUGAGAUAAAAUUAAUUCCACAUUUGCUCACCGAAUUUCCCUCCAGUUGUCAGUUCAAUUUUUUGUAAUUUAUCAUUCUUUUCAACCGUAUGCUCUUCUAGGCCAAUGGGACGAAAAAGCACAGGAGGAUGCUUUGCACAUUUUAGAAUGGCUAUUUCUACCACAUUCUUUUGCCAAGACGUUAACCACUGCCCUAGAGAUGAUUGCCAGACUUGUUUCACAAGGUCUUUUGAAAUGUCAAAAAAUAACAGGACAAGAUCCUGUCUUUAUCCAUUUACCAUUAACAAAAGAAGAGUUUCAUGCUGUGUUGUGUAACAGUUUAACUUUUCAGGCUGCCUUGGCCGAUUAUACUAAUGUUGUUUUGCAUUCUCUGCCACAUCAUUGUUUAUUAGGUUCUUUACACUGCUUACCUCUCCAAACAUGAUCUUUGUUGAGUUCUGUUCCUUUGCAAAACGCACAUACUGUAUUUAUUGAUGGUUCUGGUAAAACAGGUAAAGCUGCAGUUGUUUAGCAGCAAACAGACUGUGAAGAAUGGGCCUCAGCUGUUUUGCAUCUAUUGGGUCUACACAAAUUAUGGAAUUAGCUGCAGCAGUGCAUCCUUUUGAAUUAUUUUCCAGGGAACCUCUUAAUAUAGUCACAGAUUCUGCAUACAUCACAGAUAUUAUUCAGCAUUUAGAAUCUGCUUUUAUACAGGAGGUGGACAGUUAUUUGAUUUAUUGUUAAAACUGGCACAGCUUUUGAAAACAAGACAACAUUUCUAUUGUCAUCCAUAUUUGAUCUCACACUAACCUACCAGGACCUCUUACUGAAGGUAAUACAAUAGCAGAGCAAUUUACAAUGGCUGCAGUUUCUCCUUGGCAUUUUGAGCAGGCCGAAUUGGCUCAUGAAUUUUUUUCAAAAUGCACACUCCUUACAGAAACAUUUUUCUCUAACAACUGAACAAGCUCAGGACAUCAUUUGGGGAUGCCCAGAUUGUCAGCAGCUUUCUCCAUUACCUGUUUUGCCUGGAGCUAAUCCUAGAGGUUUAAAUGCAAGUGACUUGUGGCAAUUGGAUGUCACACACAUUUCUUCCUUUGGACAACUUAAGCAUGUCCACAUUUCUAUCGAUACCUUCUCUAGGUUUUUAAUAGCCACUGUUCAUUCUGGGGAAUGGGCCCAGGAUGUUGUGGAACAUUUUUUGCAAUGUUUUGCAACCAUGGGGGUUCCCCAAAAGAUAAAGACAGACAAUGCAUCAGCUUAUGUUUCUCACCAUUUUCUCUUAUUUUUGCAGGAUUACUGGAAUCCCACGUUCUCCAACUGGUCAGGCAAUUAUAGAACAUGCCAUCAUUCUUUGAAAUCUCUUAUUGAUAAACAAAAGAGGGGGAAUCCAGUAGGGACAACACCGCAAGAAAUAUUUGACAAAGCCACUUAUGUUUUAAAUUUUCUUAAUCUAUCUGGGUCUAAACAAUAUAUAGUUCCGCGGUAGAUAGACAUUUUAAAGCUGAGGAAUCCUCUACUGUGAAGCCCCAGGUGUUUUAUAAGAAUUUGGAAUCUGGUCAAUGGGCAGGACCAGUUCCUCUGCUUACCUGGGGACAGGGAUAUGCUUGUGUUUCUCUUCCUUCAGGUCCUUACUGGAUCUCUGUGAGAAAUGCAAAGCCAGCCCAAGUGUAGGCUUCCCCUACAUCCCCAGGAAAGGGGGAAGUGGGGAGCAAGAGACAUGGAACACAAGUCAUGGCUAUGUCACAAAGCUUUAUUGUCUUAAAUGAAGUUUAUUACAGGCCCCAGUUAAAAUAUUCAGUUCACCAAUGCAUACACUUCUGCACCUUUGUCCAGGUUGUCAGUGUUUUAGAGUGGUUGAGUGCCUUUUUUUUAAAUAAAAAGUUUUCUUUUGUUUUUA